Molecule: long non-coding RNA, 239 nt
Filed under: Nicotiana benthamiana
Lineage: Eukaryota; Viridiplantae; Streptophyta; Magnoliopsida; Solanales; Solanaceae
Description: long non-coding RNA (NBEN_LNC015571)
Source: RNAcentral
GUGAUCCUAUGUCACCUUAUUUGUUUGUUCUGGCUAUGGAGUACCUGGAUAGGAUAUUGGGUCAGUUGCACAGAAAUGGGGACUUCAACUUUCAUCCCAAAUGCAGGAAACUAAACUGUGCUCAUGUCUGUUUUGCUGAUGAUCUUCUUAUGUUCUGUCGAGCUGAUAUUAUUUCUAUCGAGAUCCUACAGGAGGCUUUCCUAAAGUUCUCUGAAGCUUCUGGAUUGCAAGCUAACAUU